AUUGAACGCUGGCGGCAGGCCUAACACAUGCAAGUCGAACGGUAACAGGAAGCAGCUUGCUGCUUUGCUGACGAGUGGCGGACGGGUGAGUAAUGUCUGGGAAACUGCCUGAUGGAGGGGGAUAACUACUGGAAACGGUAGCUAAUACCGCAUAACGUCGCAAGACCAAAGAGGGGGACCUUCGGGCCUCUUGCCAUCGGAUAUGCCCAGAUGGGAUUAGCUAGUAGGUGGGGUAACGGCUCACCUAGGCGACGAUCCCUAGCUGGUCUGAGAGGAUGACCAGCCACACUGGAACUGAGACACGGUCCAGACUCCUACGGGAGGCAGCAGUGGGGAAUAUUGCACAAUGGGCGCAAGCCUGAUGCAGCCAUGCCGCGUGUAUGAAGAAGGCCUUCGGGUUGUAAAGUACUUUCAGCGGGGAGGAAGGGAGUAAAGUUAAUACCUUGGCUCAUUGACGUUACCCGCAGAAGAAGCACCGGCUAACUCCGUG
This 490-nucleotide ribosomal RNA is filed under the name uncultured bacterium. RNAcentral's name for it is "partial 16S ribosomal RNA". It matches the Rfam family "Bacterial small subunit ribosomal RNA", at positions 30 to 507 of the family's 1533-position model. The record is from RNAcentral.